This 347-nucleotide small RNA is filed under the name Arabidopsis thaliana (thale cress). RNAcentral's name for it is "ATSL267940". Lineage: Eukaryota; Viridiplantae; Streptophyta; Magnoliopsida; Brassicales; Brassicaceae. The record is from RNAcentral.
AGAGUAUAACAACUUAAACCGCAACUCGAUCUUAAAAGCCUAAGUAGUGUAUCCUUGUUAGAAGACACAAAGCCAAAGACUCAUAUGGACUUUGGCUACACAAUGAAAGCUUUGAGAAGCAAGAAGAAGGUUGGUUAGUGUUUUAGAGUGGAAUAUGACUUGUUGUCAUGUGUAUGAUUGAGUAUAACAACUUAAACCGCAACCCGAUCUUAAAAGCCUAAGUAGUGUUUCCUUAAUAGAAGAAACAAAGCCAAAGACUCAUAUGGAAUUUGGCUACACCAUGAAAGCUUUGAGAAGUAAGAAGAAGGUUGGUUAGUGUUUUGGAGUCGAAUAUUACUUGAUGUCAU